RNAcentral lists this ribosomal RNA (253 nucleotides) under uncultured bacterium. Its description in RNAcentral is "partial 16S ribosomal RNA". It matches the Rfam family "Bacterial small subunit ribosomal RNA", at positions 524 to 776 of the family's 1533-position model. The record is from RNAcentral.
UACAGAGGGUGCAAGCGUUGUUCGGAAUCACUGGGCGUAAAGGGCGCGUAGGCGGCUUUAUAAGUCGGGGGUGAAAGCCUGUGGCUCAACCACAGAAUUGCCCUCGAUACUGUAGAGCUUGAGACCGGAAGAGGUAAGUGGAACUGCGAGUGUAGAGGUGAAAUUCGUAGAUAUUGGGAAGAACACCAGUGGCGAAGGCGGCUAACUGGUCCAGUACUGACGCUGAGGUGCGAAAGCGUGGGGAGCAAACAGG